Molecule: long non-coding RNA, 336 nt
Filed under: Androctonus crassicauda
Lineage: Eukaryota; Metazoa; Arthropoda; Arachnida; Scorpiones; Buthidae
Source: RNAcentral
AAUGAAAGAUGAAAUGAGAAGAAUAUAGGACAGCAAGAAAAAAGAUUAAAUGGAUCCUACCAAAAGAAAGUGUGACAGGACAGCAGAGGAGAAAGAGAUAAACUCUUUAGUCGCCUUAUACGACAUGCGGAUCAGACGGUGGAUGAGUUCUACCUCAUCCACAGAGGAUCGAUGUGAAAACAGAAUAUUGAACAUUGCAACAUUGUCGAGAUGUAGUGAUAAUAUAAUAUGUAUGACUUAUUUAUUUUUAUUUUAUAGGCGCCCUGCUUGAAAAAUUAAAUUGAAUGAUGUGUUUAAACGUGUGCGAUCCAUAUAAACAAUACAAAUCUUCAAGGC